CGCAUGGUAUUUUUUUUAAGAGGAGGGAAAUCUUGCGGGAAUCAGAUAAAACACCACACGGGUCAACUCUCAGCAGCGAAGGAGACUCAGGGGAAUCCGUGAGGAUGAGAAAUCACUGCAAUCUGUCCCCCCGUCUCUAAAGAAGUGCCUGUGUGUUUCUCCCUCUGCUGCGGCCGUGCAGCGUUCGCCCCAUGAGCAGGGGUGGGGGGAGUUUAAGCGUCCAUAGUUUGUUUAAAUACGGGCAGGAGAUAUAAAAGGUCCAUUGAUCUCCAAAGUUCAGCCAAGGAGCUGAGGAAGCAGUUCCAAAAUGAAAGUAAAAAAAUUAAAAAUAAAAAGGCAAAUGCAACGUAAAAUUACAGAUUGCAACAGGCAACGCUGAGCUCUUGCAGUCCGGCUUUGCUUUUUUCACGUGGAUCUGAAGAAGAGUUGUAAAGAUUUAUUUUCAAAAGUUCCCGUAGAAGCAGCAGACGUAGCAGCGCCAGCUCGCUCUCUUCCUCCCUUGCCUUCAAUAUGUGACUGUAUAAUUCAGCCUGAGCAUUUAGUCACUAGCAGUCGGUGAGGGUGAGUUGUUGGUGGGUUGUUGUUGUUAUUGUUGUUUUUAAAGCCAGAGAGAACGGAUCAACACCAAAGCCUCCUUUCAGCCGAUCAACCUGGAGAAAGAAAGCGUGCUGCUGGAAUAAAAAUAAAGCGAUAAAAAUACCAUGUGUUCAUUUAACUCCCUGUCUGAGACAGAGUGAUUCCGAUCCUGCAGUCACGCCUCAAACUGUAAACUAAGUGGGAGAUUAACUCUCUCAGCAAGGUACGCACUGACGUCACCCUUAGCCUCCAGCCGACAAUCUGCCCCUGACCUCAGCAUCACCAGAAACAUCAGAAAAGCACCAGCCGCUCGCAGGCUUGAGGACAGCUUGCCUGGUAGAAUUCUGACCAAGAUAAGAAAGAGACCCAGACAUACACCUGUGCCAAAGACAUAGAAAUAGAUCCUCUGCACCUGUCACAGUAGAUGGGGAUAAAAUGUAAAUGUAUGAUGUGUGAAGAGCUAGUAAAUGUGAUUUACAGGUUCAGGACAAGAUCUGCUUUGUGUUUGUUAUCCAUAACAACUACAGAUUAAGUUAAUGAUUCAGAUUUAAAUGUAAAGCUCUUGCCAUUUAUAAGAUACGCAUCACUUAGAUAUCACAGUGAUGCGUAUUCUAGAAAAAUGUAAGAUGGAGAAAUAAUAAAUGUAUACUACUACUUGCA
This 1236-nucleotide long non-coding RNA is filed under the name Chrysemys picta bellii (western painted turtle). RNAcentral describes it as "lncRNA (ENSCPBG00000018676.1)". The record is from RNAcentral. Lineage: Eukaryota; Metazoa; Chordata; Testudines; Emydidae.